AGUGAACGCUGGCGCUAGGCCUAACACAUGCAAGUCGAACGGCAGCACAGUAAGAGCUUGCUCUUACGGGUGGCGAGUGGCGGACGGGUGAGGAAUACAUCGGAAUCUACUUUUUCGUGGGGGAUAACGUAGGGAAACUUACGCUAAUACCGCAUACGACCUACGGGUGAAAGCAGGGGAUCUUCGGACCUUGCGCGAUUGAAUGAGCCGAUGUCGGAUUAGCUAGUUGGCGGGGUAAAGGCCCACCAAGGCGACGAUCCGUAGCUGGUCUGAGAGGAUGAUCAGCCACACUGGAACUGAGACACGGUCCAGACUCCUACGGGAGGCAGCAGUGGGGAAUAUUGGACAAUGGGCGCAAGCCUGAUCCAGCCAUACCGCGUGGGUGAAGAAGGCCUUCGGGUUGUAAAGCCCUUUUGUUGGGAGAGAAAAGCAGCAGGUUAAUACCCCGCUGUUCUGACGGUACCCAAAGAAUAAGCACCGGCUAACUUCGUG
This 492-nucleotide ribosomal RNA is filed under the name uncultured bacterium. RNAcentral's name for it is "partial 16S ribosomal RNA". It matches the Rfam family "Bacterial small subunit ribosomal RNA", at positions 29 to 507 of the family's 1533-position model. The record is from RNAcentral.